UCAUUGAUGUUUUAUAAUUUGCAGGCUAUGGAGCCAACAGUGAUGCCACUCAAGCAGGGUUAGGUUCUUCACAAGGUCACACUGCCACUGAUUCAGCACCAUCGGAUUUUCCAGAAGAUGCACCUUCAAGUUCCGAAUGUGACGCACUGCCAGCUUGU
Long non-coding RNA from Rhipicephalus microplus (southern cattle tick), 158 nucleotides. RefSeq lists it as uncharacterized. The record is from RefSeq and is a predicted model, not a curated record. Lineage: Eukaryota; Metazoa; Arthropoda; Arachnida; Ixodida; Ixodidae.